UGCAGGAGGAACCCAAUAUGACGGAGUCAUAUUUAAGGAUGGUUCCGACGACUUGCCAACCAGCGAAGGCGAGGGACAACACAAGAU
Molecule: small RNA, 87 nt
Filed under: unclassified sequences
Description: GA-cis RNA
Rfam family: GA-cis RNA
Source: Rfam by way of RNAcentral